GUAUUGUAUUGCGUUAAACGCGGUGCGCAUUCCAUAAGACUUUGUUACAGCGUGUGUGUAAAGAUGCAGAACCACAGAAGGGAGGCAGAGCCCCCCAGACCGUAGAACUACAGAGGGUGCACAGGUGUGAGUGGAUGUGUAAACAGAGCGUGCACAUGCCCCCAUACAGGGGCCAGCAACAACCCUUGUUGACAAUUCGGUAAUGAUCCUUCCGCAGGUUCACCUACGGAAA
This 232-nucleotide unclassified non-coding RNA is filed under the name uncultured fungus. RNAcentral describes it as "sequence contains ITS1". Lineage: Eukaryota; Fungi. The record is from RNAcentral.